This is a long non-coding RNA of Panicum virgatum (switchgrass), 3082 nucleotides long. RefSeq lists it as uncharacterized. NCBI's taxonomy places the organism in Eukaryota, Viridiplantae, Streptophyta, Magnoliopsida, Poales, Poaceae. The transcript has 2 exons. The record is from RefSeq and is a predicted model, not a curated record.
AUAAACGCGGCCCGCAAACCUUCCGCUACGCCCCCGGUCCAGAUCGAGAAGGCGCCGCCGGCGCACCGCCUAGUCGUGGGCGUCCCCUGCCGCCGCGUCCCGUCCGCCCUCACCAACUCCUCCACAUCCCUCCCGUCCGCGCGGUAAGCAAUGGUGCGCUUCUCCCCCCGAAGAGCCAUGGAGCACUACGGCAUUGAUGGGUCCCCGCUGACGAUGGCGGCGGUGAUGGCGCGCCCCGUGCCCGCGUUGCUCUCCGCGGCGCUCCCAUUCGCCCACAUCGGCCGCGCCUUCGACAUGACGCCUGGACGCCUUCCUGCCCCGGGUCCCGGUCGCGCGGGCUGACAUGGCGCCCCCGCUGGUGCGGCGGCACGGGAAGGACGCGAGAGAGGCGGCGAGGAGUGGGUGCUGAUCAGCGAGGUCGCGGUGCGGGGCAAGGAUGGGGAGCCCCUAGAGGUGCCCGAGCUGGAGGCCGCCGCUGCCACGGCGCUGCGCGCGUGCCACCCUAAUGCCGCGCUCACCAUCCAGGAGGUGCAGGAGCGGGGUCUAACUGGACUGGUAGGUCAUCAGCAAUCUGAAUUCAUGUUUCUCUAUCUCGUUUAUUUCUACUUAUAGUUUUAUUGUAUUUGGUGGUGUAUCAUGAUAUGUUUAAUAUGAUAAAUUCUCUGUGAUGUGUUGACCAUCCAGUAGCUACAACUGUAGCAAUUGAGUUUGUCAUGCUCCUUCUCUAAUCUAACCCAGUAAUGAUUGUAUAUAUCUCACCAAUGCUAAAUAUGCGUCGGACUCAACAUACAACAAAGGAUUCAUUUGUUGUUAAUUGCAUCUAGAAAUAAGAACCCUCAAUGCUACAUUGCUAAAUGAUAAAUCACAGAGAGCCAUUGAUUUGGAUUCUGGUUUCAUACACUGAGAUACUUUCUGGAGGAAUUCUGAGGCUACAAGUUUAAGAAGCUGAGGUUAAUAAUAUUAAUAUCCGCUUUAUAGGUAGGAAAACGUAAGGACAAAUCUUUACUCCGAUAUUUUUGUGAUCAAUUAUUGUUUCAAACCAUGAGAGUUUCUAUUUUUCUAUGGUUUCCACCCUUCUCUUUCCUUUCUGUGUUGUCAUAGUGGUGAUCGAACCAACUGUUGGAAAGACAGCUAGAGCCUAGAGACCAUCCUUCGACAACUUGCCACCAAGAAAGGGCAGGUCAGAGUUCCAAAAGUUAUCUUUCUCAAUUGAUUUAUUUAUGUUUCAUGCUCGUAUAUCUUUCACAGGGUAACCUUCUUCCGCUACACUUGUUGAGAUAGCUGAUGUCAUCUAAGUUGGUAGCCGUACUGUUGCAUUGUGUAUUAUCACUUGCAUUGCAUAAUCUUACUUAAAGACUGCACCGCCUUUAAUAACACCUAGAUAGAUGCCGUGCUGAAUUUUUGUGUUGUAGUGUUGAUCUGUUAAGUAGAUCCUGUAGUGUUGUAGGUAAUACAGAAAUUUGCUAAAUUAGCAAGCACUUGAAUUGUUCUACUCUUAUAUUAGUAUCAUACUGCUCUUGUUGGCUUUACUUUGUGCCAGUGUUUGUUGAUUUUGAAAAGUCAGUUCAGUUAACACAUAUCCGUUUGUGAUCUCAAUAUGCCAACUAUUGCUUUUUUCCCCUGCUUUUCCUUUAGUUUCUAUUUCCUUCUAUACAAUUGGGAUUGUGAGAUGGAUGACCUCCCUUUUGCUUUUGCGAUUGUGGAUUUUGGAACUUGGAUUCAGUAGUGGUAGCAAUUUGUACCUGCAUUGUUGUUUGUCACAAAUGAUAACUGCUCAGUAGGAUUACCUCUAUUAUGCAUGUAGACUCACUGUAGGCUAUGAUUUUGCAGUACAUAGCCAGAACUUGGUUCGUAACAGUAGUGAUUUGGCAUUGCAUCCGUACUUAGAUAAUAUACUUAUCGCAGUAAAAUCUGUGGUUAGGUUAAAUUGGAGCGUAAUUUGGGUUAUGAUAAUUGUUUUACCUCAUUUUCACUCCUGAUUUAAUGUAUAAUGUAGUUCUGUCGUGCUGCUGUCUCUAGCGACUUCAUUCGCGAGUUCGGCCAUCGUAUCACCCGAUCUAUAUUGGAAGUCAGAGACUAACAUGUUCAGUGAUUGGACCAUGGCUUGGGAGGGCAUGCCGAAAAUGAUGCUGGAUGUGAUACGAGCGUGAGGGAAAAAUCAUCUUGAUCUUGAUCUUUUCAGAGUUGAGGACAAUCGGCCUUCAGCGAGGUGAGAUACUGAUCAAUUUAAUGUACCAGGUGACCAAAUCUGAGAAUGCAUGUUCGUACUAUUUUAUAUUCGACCAUUGCACAAUCAGAAAUAGUGUUAACUUCUUCACGUGCCACAAUACUGCUGUAACAGACAUUCACAUGUAUUUGACUAUCUAAUACAUGUGCCCUCCCUCGUGUCAAGUGGCCCUAAUUUCUACAAGAAAAACAACCAGUAUGUAUAUUAAUUGACCUUCAAACAUCAUUAUGUUUCGAUGAUAUGUGUGUUAUUGUGAAACUAUUGUUUAUCAAAUACUGCACUUGUUUCUCUGAAGGAUGCUUUGGAUUGAAAACAUUUAUACUACUGAUGUACUGCUUCUUAAUGCUAUUGCUCAGGUAGGAGACUUAAAAAAGCAAUACAAAAAGAAUGAAAAACCGAAGUCCAGAAACUUAUGCACAGCAAGGUUAGUACGUGAUGUUCUAUGCAUCCAUAUAAAAUUGCAGGUUUCCACAAAUCAAGGUCAGUUGUCUUUUAUCAAGUUGUGCAGUUCAGAACUCUGCUAUCUUUUGACACGUUGUGCAGUUCACAGCUCAAACAGUAAUUCCCUGUAGGCAUCGAUUUAAGUGAUGGUGGUGAUAUACUAAUUUAUCAUGCAUACAUAUGGAGGCUUCAGAGGAGUGGUCACAUGACAGAAUAUUUAGAAAUGUUUUCAUUAUAGUAUAUGAGAUACUAAUUUGUCAAGCAUAUGGGCUUAAAAGAGUAGUGGUUACAUGACUGAAUAUUCAGAACAAUUCCCAUUACAGUUUUUAUUCAGAUCAACUGAAUUUUCUAAAGAAACUACAGCUAUUGUCAUGUAUGAUAUUUAAUUGAUGAUGGCGAUGUACUAAUGUUUCA